GACGAACGCUGGCGGCGUGCUUAAUACAUGCAAGUCGAGCGGUAAGGCCCUUUCGGGGGUACACGAGCGGCGAACGGGUGAGUAACACGUGGGUGACCUGCCCUCAGCUCUGGGAUAAGCCUGGGAAACUGGGUCUAAUACCGGAUAUGACUCCAUGACGCAUGUUGUGGGGUGGAAAGCCUUGUGCGGCUGAGGAUGGGCCCGCGGCCUAUCAGCUUGUUGGUGGGGUGANGGCCUACCAAGGCGACGACGGGUAGCCGGCCUGAGAGGGCGACCGGCCACACUGGGACUGAGACACGGCCCAGACUCCUACGGGAGGCAGCAGUGGGGAAUCUUGCGCAAUGGGCGAAAGCCUGACGCAGCGACGCCGCGUGAGGGAUGACGGCCU
Molecule: ribosomal RNA, 388 nt
Filed under: uncultured bacterium
Lineage: Bacteria
Description: bacterial SSU rRNA
Rfam family: Bacterial small subunit ribosomal RNA
Source: RNAcentral